This 1139-nucleotide ribosomal RNA is filed under the name Bradyrhizobium lupini. Its description in RNAcentral is "bacterial SSU rRNA". It matches the Rfam family "Bacterial small subunit ribosomal RNA", at positions 224 to 1381 of the family's 1533-position model. The record is from RNAcentral. Lineage: Bacteria; Pseudomonadati; Pseudomonadota; Alphaproteobacteria; Hyphomicrobiales; Nitrobacteraceae.
GAUUGGCCCGCGUCUGAUUAGCUAGUUGGUGAGGUAAUGGCUCACCAAGGCGACGAUCAGUAGCUGGUCUGAGAGGAUGAUCAGCCACAUUGGGACUGAGACACGGCCCAAACUCCUACGGGAGGCAGCAGUGGGGAAUAUUGGACAAUGGGCGCAAGCCUGAUCCAGCCAUGCCGCGUGAGUGAUGAAGGCCCUAGGGUUGUAAAGCUCUUUUGUGCGGGAAGAUAAUGACGGUACCGCAAGAAUAAGCCCCGGCUAACUUCGUGCCAGCAGCCGCGGUAAUACGAAGGGGGCUAGCGUUGCUCGGAAUCACUGGGCGUAAAGGGUGCGUAGGCGGGUCUUUAAGUCAGGGGUGAAAUCCUGGAGCUCAACUCCAGAACUGCCUUUGAUACUGAGGAUCUUGAGUUCGGGAGAGGUGAGUGGAACUGCGAGUGUAGAGGUGAAAUUCGUAGAUAUUCGCAAGAACACCAGUGGCGAAGGCGGCUCACUGGCCCGAUACUGACGCUGAGGCACGAAAGCGUGGGGAGCAAACAGGAUUAGAUACCCUGGUAGUCCACGCCGUAAACGAUGAAUGCCAGCCGUUAGUGGGUUUACUCACUAGUGGCGCAGCUAACGCUUUAAGCAUUCCGCCUGGGGAGUACGGUCGCNAGAUUAAAACUCAAAGGAAAUGACGGGGGCCCGCACAAGCGGUGGAGCAUGUGGUUUAAUUAGACGCAACGCGCAGAACCUUACCAGCCCUUGACAUGUCCAGGACCGGUCGCAGAGAUGUGACCUUCUCUUCGGAGCCUGGAACACAGGUGCUGCAUGGCAGUCGUCAGCUCGUGUCGUGAGAUGAUGGGUUAAGUCCCGCAACGAGCGCAACCCCCGUCCUUAGUUGCUACCAAUUAGUUAAGCACUCUAAGGAGACUGCCGGUGAUAAGCCGCGAGGAAGGUGGGGAUGACGUCAAGUCCUCAUGGCCCUUACGGGCUGGGCUACACACGUGCUACAAUGGCGGUGACAAUGGGACGAUAAGGGGCAACCCUUCGCAAAUCUCAAAAAGCCGUCUCAGUUCGGAUUGGGCUCUGCAACUCGAGCCCAUGAAGUUGGAAUCGCUAGUAAUCGUGGAUCAGCACGCCACGGUGAAUACGUUCCCGGGCCU